GAAGGUGUGUCGUGAGGCAUGCUGGAGGUAUCAGAAGUGCGAAUGCUGACAUAAGUAACGAUAAAGCGGGUGAAAAGCCCGCUCGCCGGAAGACCAAGGGUUCCUGUCCAACGUUAAUCGGGGCAGGGUGAGUCGACCCCUAAGGCGAGGCCGAAAGGCGUAGUCGAUGGGAAACGGGUUAAUAUUCCCGUACUUGGUGUUACUGCGAAGGGGGGACGGAGAAGGCUAUGUUGGCCGGGCGACGGUUGUCCCGGUUUAAGCGUGUAGGUGUGUGUUCCAGGUAAAUCCGGUUCACUUUAACACUGAGGCGUGACGACGAGGCACUACGGUGCUGAAGCAACAAAUGCCCUGCUUCCAGGAAAAGCCUCUAAGCAUCAGGUAACAUCAAAUCGUACCCCAAACCGACACAGGUGGUCAGGUAGAGAAUACCAAGGCGCUUGAGAGAACUCGGGUGAAGGAACUAGGCAAAAUGGUGCCGUAACUUCGGGAGAAGGCACGCUGACACGUAGGUGAAGUGAUUUACUCAUGGAGCUGAAGUCAGUCGAAGAUACCAGCUGGCUGCAACUGUUUAUUAAAAACACAGCACUGUGCAAACACGAAAGUGGACGUAUACGGUGUGACGCCUGCCCGGUGCCGGAAGGUUAAUUGAUGGGGUCAGCGCAAGCGAAGCUCCUGAUCGAAGCCCCGGUAAACGGCGGCCGUAACUAUAACGGUCCUAAGGUAGCGAAAUUCCUUGUCGGGUAAGUUCCGACCUGCACGAAUGGCGUAAUGAUGGCCAGGCUGUCUCCACCCGAGACUCAGUGAAAUUGAACUCGCUGUGAAGAUGCAGUGUACCCGCGGCAAGACGGAAAGACCCCGUGAACCUUUACUAUAGCUUGACACUGAACAUUGAGCCUUGAUGUGUAGGAUAGGUGGGAGGCUUUGAAGUGUGGACGCCAGUCUGCAUGGAGCCGACCUUGAAAUACCACCCUUUAAUGUUUGAUGUUCUAACGUGGACCCGUUACCCGGGUUGCGGACAGUGUCUGGUGGGUAGUUUGACUGGGGCGGUCUCCUCCUAAAGAGUAACGGAGGAGCACGAAGGUUGGCUAAUCCUGGUCGGACAUCAGGAGGUUAGUGCAAUGGCAUAAGCCAGCUUGACUGCGAGCGUGACGGCGCGAGCAGGUGCGAAAGCAGGUCAUAGUGAUCCGGUGGUUCUGAAUGGAAGGGCCAUCGCUCAACGGAUAAAAGGUACUCCGGGGAUAACAGGCUGAUACCGCCCAAGAGUUCAUAUCGACGGCGGUGUUUGGCACCUCGAUGUCGGCUCAUCACAUCCUGGGGCUGAAGUAGGUCCCAAGGGUAUGGCUGUUCGCCAUUUAAAGUGGUACGCGAGCUGGGUUUAGAACGUCGUGAGACAGUUCGGUCCCUAUCUGCCGUGGGCGCUGGAGAACUGAGGGGGGCUGCUCCUAGUACGAGAGGACCGGAGUGGACGCAUCACUGGUGUUCGGGUUGUCAUGCCAAUGGCACUGCCCGGUAGCUAAAUGCGGAAGAGAUAAGUGCUGAAAGCAUCUAAGCACGAAACUUGCCCCGAGAUGAGUUCUCCCUGAGACUUAGAGUCUCCUGAAGGAACGUUGAAGACGACGACGUUGAUAGGCCGGGUGUGUAAGCGCAGCGAUGCGUUGAGCUAACCGGUACUAAUGAACCGUGAGGCUUAACCUU
Molecule: ribosomal RNA, 1695 nt
Filed under: Salmonella enterica
Lineage: Bacteria; Pseudomonadati; Pseudomonadota; Gammaproteobacteria; Enterobacterales; Enterobacteriaceae
Also listed under: 1 other name
Description: partial 23S ribosomal RNA
Rfam family: Bacterial large subunit ribosomal RNA
Source: RNAcentral